This 494-nucleotide ribosomal RNA is filed under the name uncultured bacterium. RNAcentral describes it as "partial 16S ribosomal RNA". It matches the Rfam family "Bacterial small subunit ribosomal RNA", at positions 28 to 507 of the family's 1533-position model. The record is from RNAcentral.
GACGAACGCUGGCGGCGUGCCUAAUACAUGCAAGUCGAACGGUUUAGUUCCAAGAGGCUUGCCUUUUGGAACUAGACAGUGGCGGACGGGUGAGUAACACGUAGGCUACCUACUUGUCAAACCGGGAUAACCUCGGGAAACCGAAGCUAAACCCGGAUAAGCUCCUUUUUCGCAUGAAGGGGGAGUGAAAAGGUGCGACCUGAUGACAGAUGGGCCUGCGGCGCAUUAGUUAGUAGGUAGGGUAACGGCCUACCUAGGCGAUGAUGCGUAGCCGACCUGAGAGGGCGUACCGCCACACUGGGACAGGGAUACGGCCCAGGCUCAUACGGGAGGCAGCAGUAGGGAAUCUUCGGCGAUGGGCGAAAGCCUGACCACGCAACGCCGCGUGAAUGAGGAAGGCCUUCGUGUUGUAAAACUCUGUUGUCUGGGAAGAAGGGAAAGGGUAGGACCCUUUGGUGACGGUACCAAACGAGAAAGCCCCGGCUAACUACGUG